Lucilia cuprina (Australian sheep blowfly) is the source of this 815-nucleotide long non-coding RNA. RefSeq lists it as uncharacterized. Lineage: Eukaryota; Metazoa; Arthropoda; Insecta; Diptera; Calliphoridae. The record is from RefSeq and is a predicted model, not a curated record. The transcript is spliced from 3 exons.
CUAACUUUUUAAAACCCUUUAUGGAUUUUAGCCUACUGGAGGUCUACUUUCAUUUCUCGUUGGUCUCAUUCGGGAAAGAUUUUCUUGUUGCACAGUGUAAUGAAUUAUACUAUACUUGCAGAUCCACAAAAUCUUAUUUCCACACUAGUGGAUCAAAACCGUCAGUUUUUAGAAGAUAACAAAAAAUCCAUGAAGCUAUAAUGACAAUAAUGGAAGUUAAUAAAAAAUUAUUGGAAGAAAAUAAGAUUUUGAAAACAAAACUGGAACAAAUUGAUAAAAAUCGAGGAAACUAACAAUAAAAUAGGAAAUGAGAACACAAAAUUGUACGGUCAUUUUGCAGAAGAAUUUAUUCAUCUAAGAACCAGGGUUGAAACUGCAUUAAGAAACUUGCAAACUACAAAUAAUAGUGUCGCAAUACCAACAAUAUUAUCCGCAGAUGAUGUUAUUACUUUCGAUUACCAAUUGCAAAUCAAUUGAUAAAACUUUUUAGAAUGCAGCCUCAAGAUGACAUAAAAAAGUUCAUAUAUGAAAACCUAAAAAUAAUGUUAAAAGAUGACAACAUUACAUGCCAAUUUUCAUGGCUAAGUGUAAACAAAAACAUUUCUGUAGGAGACUUUUAUUUUAUAAAACUUCUUAAAGACUUUACUUUACAACAUAUAGCUUCAACAAUGGCUUCAACGAUUGAACAUCAUAUGAAAAAAUUUUUUAAUGCAGCCAAAGAUCGAAUUAACAAAAAAUAAGAGAAAAAUCGAACAGAUUUCCUAAUUUGUUUUACUUAUUUUAUAUAAACAAAUUUAUAAAAUGAAAUAUUAAAA